This 138-nucleotide ribosomal RNA is filed under the name Bipolaris sorokiniana. Its description in RNAcentral is "5.8S ribosomal RNA". It matches the Rfam family "5.8S ribosomal RNA", at positions 1 to 138 of the family's 154-position model. From Rfam's summary of the family: 5.8S ribosomal RNA (5.8S rRNA) is a component of the large subunit of the eukaryotic ribosome. It is transcribed by RNA polymerase I as part of the 45S precursor that also contains 18S and 28S rRNA. Lineage: Eukaryota; Fungi; Ascomycota; Dothideomycetes; Pleosporales; Pleosporaceae. The record is from RNAcentral. RNAcentral also lists the same sequence under 1 other name.
AACUUUCAACAACGGAUCUCUUGGUUCUGGCAUCGAUGAAGAACGCAGCGAAAUGCGAUACGUAGUGUGAAUUGCAGAAUUCAGUGAAUCAUCGAAUCUUUGAACGCACAUUGCGCCCUUUGGUAUUCCAAAGGGCAU